GUGGGGAAUAUUGGACAAUGGGCGAAAGCCUGAUCCAGCCAUGCCGCGUGUGUGAAGAAGGUCUUCGGAUUGUAAAGCACUUUAAGUUGGGAGGAAGGGCAGUAAGUUAAUACCUUGCUGUUUUGACGUUACCGACAGAAUAAGCACCGGCUAACUUCGUGCCAGCAGCCGCGGUAAUACGAAGGGUGCAAGCGUUAAUCGGAAUUACUGGGCGUAAAGCGCGCGUAGGUGGUUCAGCAAGUUGGAGGUGAAAUCCCCGGGCUCAACCUGGGAACUGCCUCCAAAACUACGGGGCUAGAGUACGGUAGAGGGUAGUGGAAUUUCCUGUGUAGCGGUGAAAUGCGUAGAUAUAGGAAGGAACACCAGUGGCGAAGGCGACUACCUUGACUGAUACUGACACUGAGGUGCGAAAGCGUGGGGAGCAAACAGGAUUAGAAACCCCGGUAGUCC
This 450-nucleotide ribosomal RNA is filed under the name uncultured bacterium. RNAcentral's name for it is "partial 16S ribosomal RNA". It matches the Rfam family "Bacterial small subunit ribosomal RNA", at positions 354 to 796 of the family's 1533-position model. The record is from RNAcentral.